GGCGCGCGUAAUACAUGCAAGUCGAGCGAGAAGAUGUAGCAAUACGUUUGUAAAGCGGCGAACGGGUGAGGAAUACAUGGGUAACCUACCCUCGAGUGGGGAAUAACUAGCCGAAAGGUUAGCUAAUACCGCGUACGCUCCUUGGGCUUCGGUUCAGGGAGGAAAGCGAUACCGUGGGUAUCGCGCUCUUGGAUGGGCUCAUGUCCUAUCAGCUUGUUGGUGAGGUAACGGCUCACCAAGGCUUCGACGGGUAGCUGGUCUGAGAGGACGAUCAGCCACACUGGCACUGCGACACGGGCCAGACUCCUACGGGAGGCAGCAGUAAGGAAUAUUGCGCAAUGGGCGAAAGCCUGACGCAGCGACGCCGCGUGGGGGAUGAAGGUCUUCGGAUUGUAAACCCCUUUCGGGAGGGAAGAUGGAAUGGGGUAACCCAUUCGGACGGUACCUCCAGAAGCAGCCACGGCUAACUUCGUGCCAGCAGCCGCGGUAAUACGAAGGUGGCAAGCGUUGUUCGGAUUUACUGGGCGUACAGGGAGCGUAGGCGGUUCGGUAAGCCCUUUGUGAAAUCUCCAGGCUUAACCUGGGAAAGUCGGAGGGGACUGCCGGGCUAGAGGACGGGAGAGGAGCGCGGAAUUCCCGGUGUAGCGGUGAAAUGCGUAGAGAUCGGGAGGAAGGCCGGUGGCGAAGGCGGCGCUCUGGAACGUUUCUGACGCUGAGGCUCGAAAGCGUGGGGAGCAAACAGGAUUAGAUGCCCUGGUAGUCCACGCCUUAAACUAUGAAUACUAAGUGUCGGCGGGUUACCGCCGGUGCCGCAGCUAACGCAUUAAGUAUUCCGCCUGGGAAGUACGGCCGCAAGGUUGAAACUCAAAUGAAUUGACGG
Molecule: ribosomal RNA, 880 nt
Filed under: uncultured bacterium
Lineage: Bacteria
Description: bacterial SSU rRNA
Rfam family: Bacterial small subunit ribosomal RNA
Source: RNAcentral